Molecule: non-coding RNA, 27 nt
Filed under: Homo sapiens (human)
Lineage: Eukaryota; Metazoa; Chordata; Mammalia; Primates; Hominidae
Source: RNAcentral
UCUGCACCAUGUGUGGAGGACAGUGGA